AGGAAGGGGUGGAAUACUCUGUGAUUGAGGUCACAAAAAGCAAGAUUCUAGUGGGCUGGAGUUAUAUUGUUCAGAACUUUAUAUUCCAAAUAGAAUAUUUAGAAUUUUAUCUAAGAAACAAUGUGGAGUCACUGAAGAUCAUUGAAUAAGAGAAAGGCAGACAGAUUUCUGCUUUGGAAACUCAUUUUGGAAGCUAUGUGCAGAACAGUUUGGUAUAGAGUAGUGAUGGUGAACCUAUGGCACAGGUGCCAAAGAUGGCAAAAGUUCUCUCUUGGCCACACUCCCUUUCUUCCCGCAACUCAGAGUUUGUUACUAAAAAGGCAAGGGGACUCAGUAAACUGGGCACCCAAUUUGUUUUCUAUGAAUUUACUCUCCAGCCUCUUCAGAUGUAUUUCUUUCAGAGCUGUUCUCUUGGAGCAGUCAUUUAGUUCUGAAAGCAGCAUUCAUCUGAUUUUGUCUCUGCAAUCACUGUUCCAGAUGAACGUAUUCCCAAGGACAAAUUUGAAAGCACUAAUGCAGCUUUAUCUGUUUGAAGUGGCCUCCUCUGUCAUCAACAUUCACUGAACAUGAGGGCCCAUGCUCUAGUGUUUGCGGUAAGUACCUACAAGUUUUUAUUCAGCUCUCACAAGAGCCCUGCACUCUGUGCUCUCAGCAUCAUCUUGGAAGUUGCUUUCCCCACCCCAACCCCCCACUAAGAUGGAAAGAGUGCCAAUGGAUGGUUACAGCUCCAGGAAAGGAAAGAGACAUGCCAUUAAUUGAUUCCUAUUUCUACCAUUCCUCCAGGGAAGGAACUCAAAAUGGUGUCUACACAAUAACAAGAAAUUUGCCCAGGAAAUAGGAGGGUACAAAUGGCUCUAGGGGACAGUAUCUUUACCUAAAAAUCAACUCUAAUACUUUUUUCUAUCACUUUUAUUUCAGACUGGAAACUUUUUAUUCCUGCUAAUUGGUUAACAAUGGUUUAGUACAUUUUUAUAUUUAACACUAGCUCCAUAGACAAAAAAUGACAGGUAAUAGAUAGCUUAGAAAUCAAGCAUACUUGGGUUUUUCUUGCUUCUGACACAUCAUUGACUUCUUUUCAGUGUUUCAAGCUAUUGUUUAUUGUAUUCAACAGAUAAAGUAUAUGCUCUUUUGUUAAUAUUCUAUAUUGAAGAACUUCUGACUACUAGUGCCUUCCCUCUAAAACCAAAUUGCUUUUUACUAUUUUGUGUUUAUUUUAAUUUAAUUACAUUAUAGUCCAUAUAUACUUACAUAUGUGCAAUUUUAUGUGUAUUUUGAUAACCUAGAUAGUUCAUUAGACUCCUGGACAUGGAAUCAGGAAAUUCUGACUUCAGAUCCAGUCUCAGAAAGUUGCUAAAUAUGUGACCCUGAGAAAGUCACUUAACUUCUGUUUACUUUAAUAUCCUGGAGAAGGUAAUGGCAAACCAUUCUAGUAUCUUUGCUAAGAAACCCCAACAUGACUGAACAACAUCAACAAAUAUGUACUUUCUUCUCCAUGAAAAUACACAUUUCUUGAAACUAGAGUUUGUGUCAUUAUUUGGAUUUAUUUCUUCAGUGCCUGUCAUAG
Monodelphis domestica (gray short-tailed opossum) is the source of this 1564-nucleotide long non-coding RNA. Lineage: Eukaryota; Metazoa; Chordata; Mammalia; Didelphimorphia; Didelphidae. The record is from Ensembl.